Molecule: ribosomal RNA, 253 nt
Filed under: uncultured bacterium
Lineage: Bacteria
Description: partial 16S ribosomal RNA
Rfam family: Bacterial small subunit ribosomal RNA
Source: RNAcentral
UACAGAGGGUGCGAGCGUUAAUAGGAAUUACUGGGCGUAAAGCGCACGUAGGUGGCGGCGUAAGUCGGGUGUGAAAGCCCCGGGCUCAACCUGGGAAGUGCAUUCGAGACUGCAUUGCUGGAGUACGGAAGAGGAGGGUGGAAUUCCCGGUGUAGCGGUGAAAUGCGUAGAUAUCGGGAGGAACAUCAGUGGCGAAGGCGGCCCUCUGGUCCAGUUCUAACACUCAAGUGCGAAAGCGUGGGGAGCAAACAGG